RNAcentral lists this ribosomal RNA (313 nucleotides) under uncultured bacterium. Its description in RNAcentral is "bacterial SSU rRNA". It matches the Rfam family "Bacterial small subunit ribosomal RNA", at positions 482 to 793 of the family's 1533-position model. The record is from RNAcentral.
CAGAAGAAGCACCGGCUAACUCCGUGCCAGCAGCCGCGGUAAUACGGAGGGUGCGAGCGUUAAUCGGAAUUACUGGGCGUAAAAGCGCAUGCAGGUGGUUUGUUAAGUCAGAUGUGAAAGCCCGGGGCUCAACCUCGGAAUUGCAUUUGAAAACUGGCAAACUAGAGUACUGUAGAGGGGGUAGAAUUUCAGGUGUAGCGGUGAAAUGCGUAGAGAUCUGAAGGAAUACCGGUGGCGAAGGCGGCCCCCUGGACAGAUACUGACACUCAGAUGCGAAAGCGUGGGGAGCAAACAGGAUUAGAUACCCUGGUAG